RNAcentral lists this ribosomal RNA (164 nucleotides) under uncultured bacterium. RNAcentral's name for it is "partial 16S rRNA". It matches the Rfam family "Bacterial small subunit ribosomal RNA", at positions 355 to 511 of the family's 1533-position model. The record is from RNAcentral.
UAGGGAAUCUUCCACAAUGGGCGAAAGCCUGAUGGAGCAACGCCGCGUGUGUGAUGAAGGGUUUCGGCUCGUAAAACACUGUUGUAAGAGAAGAAUGACAUUGAGAGUAACUGUUCAAUGUGUGACGGUAUCCUACCAGAAAGGAACGGCUAAAUACGCGCCAG